CUAAGACUUUUUUAAAAAUUUUUUUCAAAAGAUCUGACUACACACAAAUCAGAUUUUAUGUUCAACACAUGAACAAUCUGAUUUUUGGACAAGCAUCUCAUGCUUUCCAAUUUCACUCUUCCCUUUCUUUCUAUUUUUCUCUCCCUUUUCCUUUUCAUUUUUUACUUUAAAUUUUUUCUACCUCUUCCUUAUCUAAUCCCACUUCCAAAAUAAUUUUUUGGAUGAUUUUUAUGCCAUAUGGGAUACCCCUUAUAUAAGGAAUGAAGGGCACCACAUAAAUCCUAAGGGAUGCCAACUCUAGGCAUCCCUUAUUCAUUCAUGCACCAUAUUAAUUUUUUCCAUGUAAUCCCAUAGGUUAAGAUGUGGAA
RNAcentral lists this long non-coding RNA (368 nucleotides) under Elaeis guineensis (African oil palm). Its description in RNAcentral is "long non-coding RNA (EGUI_LNC036315)". The record is from RNAcentral. Lineage: Eukaryota; Viridiplantae; Streptophyta; Magnoliopsida; Arecales; Arecaceae.